UGUCUCCUGCAGUGUUCGACGAACGCUCUAAACCCUUGAGCCUAUUUGCAAACCCCCGGGAGCCAAAACUGGUUGGGCGUGCAAGCCCGCGUUGUCGGCGGGAAGCCCGAAAGCCAGAUUGCGGCACCCACUUGAGACCUCGUCUCAAGGUACCGAGCGAAUGACGGCACAGGCGGGAGUCAC
This is a non-coding RNA of Vigna angularis (adzuki bean), 183 nucleotides long. It matches the Rfam family "6S / SsrS RNA". From Rfam's summary of the family: E. coli 6S RNA was the first non coding RNA to be sequenced, but its function was unknown until recently. NCBI's taxonomy places the organism in Eukaryota, Viridiplantae, Streptophyta, Magnoliopsida, Fabales, Fabaceae. The record is from Rfam.